Molecule: ribosomal RNA, 244 nt
Filed under: uncultured bacterium
Lineage: Bacteria
Description: partial 16S ribosomal RNA
Rfam family: Bacterial small subunit ribosomal RNA
Source: RNAcentral
UACGUAGGGUGCAAGCGUUAAUCGGAAUUACUGGGCGUAAAGCGUGCGCAGGCGGUUUUGUAAGUCAGAUGUGAAAUCCCCCGGGCUUAACCUGGGAACUGCGUUUGAAACUACAAGGCUAGAGUGUGGCAGAGGGGGGUGGAAUUCCGACGUGUAGCAGUGAAAUGCGUAGAGAUGUGGAGGAACACCGAUGGCGAAGGCAGCCCCCUGGGUUAACACUGACGCCCAGGCCACGAAAGCGUGG